GUGCUCGCUUCAGCAGUGCAUAUACUAAAAUUGGUACAAGAUAGAAACAGUUCGCAUGGUCCAUGUGCAAGGAUAAAACACACACACACAAAAUUAAUUCAAUACAU
RNAcentral lists this small nuclear RNA (107 nucleotides) under Saimiri boliviensis boliviensis (Bolivian squirrel monkey). The record is from RNAcentral. Lineage: Eukaryota; Metazoa; Chordata; Mammalia; Primates; Cebidae.